UACACAAUGCACUCGGCAGAGAGGCUCCACAACAUCAUUGAGAUCUGUGGCGGAUUGACCCAAGAGACAACUCUCCACUUCCACCCAUUUGCACGGAUGGGUUUGCUUGAAGCUUUUCUCUCUCUCUUUGGAACACUGGUAAUUCAGAAAACUUGCAGCUACAAAGGCAUCAUGUCUGCGUUCGAGUCAAUUGGAAACAACACUCAGAAAAAGCUUAUAAAAAUAGAUAUCAGUUCAGACACUGUGUGUCCAUGGUGCUUUAUGGGCAAAAAAAAUCUUGACAAAGCUAUAGCUACAUCUAAGGAUCACUAUGACUUUAAGGUUUGCUCUCUCUCUCUCUCUCUCUCUCUGUGUUUGUGCGUGUGUGUGCACGCAUGUUUGUGUUCCAACUCUUAUCUUUUAUCAACUACAUUUGUAGAUUAGAUGGCAUCCAUUUCAACUUAAUCCUUUUGCCCCAAAAGAAGGCAUCAAUAGGAAAGAGUAUUAUAGGAACAAGUUUGGAUCUCAAACUAAGAGGAUAGAAGCUCGGAUGUCAGAGGUUUUUAGGGGCCAUGGAUUGGAAUAUAACCUUUUAGGAAUCACG
This is a long non-coding RNA of Quercus robur (English oak), 583 nucleotides long. RefSeq lists it as uncharacterized. The transcript has 3 exons. Lineage: Eukaryota; Viridiplantae; Streptophyta; Magnoliopsida; Fagales; Fagaceae. The record is from RefSeq and is a predicted model, not a curated record.